GAUGAAGAACGUAGCAAAAUGCGAUAAGUAAUGUGAAUUGCAGAAUUCAGUGAAUCAUCGAAUCUUUGAACGCACAUUGCGCCCGCCAGUAUUCUGGCGGGCAUGCCUGUUCGAGCGUCAUUUCAACCCUCAAGCACAGCUUGGUGUUGGGACUCGCGUUAAUUCGCGUUCCCCAAAUUGAUUGGCGGUCACGUCGAGCUUCCAUAGCGUAGUAGUAAAACCCUCGUUACUGGUAAUCGUCGCGGCCACGCCGUUAAACCCCAACUUCUGAAUGUUGACCUCGGAUCAGGUAGGAAUACCCGCUGAACUUAAGCAUGUCAAUAAGCGGAGGA
This 332-nucleotide unclassified non-coding RNA is filed under the name soil metagenome. Its description in RNAcentral is "partial contains 5.8S ribosomal RNA, internal transcribed spacer 2, and large subunit ribosomal RNA". The stretch from base 1 to 120 matches the Rfam family "5.8S ribosomal RNA", at positions 35 to 154 of the family's 154-position model. The record is from RNAcentral.